UACGUAGGGGGCGAGCGUUGUCCGGAAUCAUUGGGCGUAAAGGGUGCGUAGGCGGCUUGGCAAGUCCUGUGUGAAAGGUCGCGGCUUAACCGCGGUGGGUCAUGGGAAACUGCCAGGCUUGAGUGCCGGAGAGGAUAGCGGAAUUCCACGUGUAGCGGUGAAAUGCGUAGAUAUGUGGAGGAACACCAGUGGCGAAGGCGGCUAUCUGGAAGGUAACUGACGCUGAGGCACGACAGCUGGGGGAGCAAACAGG
RNAcentral lists this ribosomal RNA (253 nucleotides) under uncultured bacterium. RNAcentral's name for it is "partial 16S ribosomal RNA". It matches the Rfam family "Bacterial small subunit ribosomal RNA", at positions 524 to 776 of the family's 1533-position model. The record is from RNAcentral.